GAUGAACGCUGGCGGCGUGCUUAACACAUGCAAGUCGAGCGAAGCACUUAAGACAGAUUCUUCGGAUGAAGUCUUCUGUGACUGAGCGGCGGACGGGUGAGUAACGCGUGGGUAACCUGCCUCAUACAGGGGGAUAACAGUUAGAAAUGACUGCUAAUACCGCAUAAGACCACGGUACCGCAUGGUACAGUGGUAAAAACUCCGGUGGUAUGAGAUGGACCCGCGUCUGAUUAGGUAGGUGGUGGGGUAACGGCCUACCAAGCCGACGAUCAGUAGCCGACCUGAGAGGGUGACCGGCGACAUUGGGACUGAGACACGGCCCAGACUCCUACGGGAGGCAGCAGUGGGGAAUAUUGCACAAUGGAGGAAACUCUGAUGCAGCGACGCCGCGUGAAGGAUGAAGUAUUUCGGUAUGUAAACUUCUAUCAGCAGGGGAGAAAAUGACGGUACCUGACUAAGAAGCCCCGGCUAACUACGUGCCAGCAGCCGCAGUAA
Molecule: ribosomal RNA, 495 nt
Filed under: uncultured bacterium
Lineage: Bacteria
Description: partial 16S ribosomal RNA
Rfam family: Bacterial small subunit ribosomal RNA
Source: RNAcentral